This 31-nucleotide non-coding RNA is filed under the name Mus musculus (house mouse). The record is from RNAcentral. Lineage: Eukaryota; Metazoa; Chordata; Mammalia; Rodentia; Muridae.
UGCUUAUUCCUUCAAUUAAGUCCUGCCGAGU